Molecule: transfer RNA, 85 nt
Filed under: Deltaproteobacteria bacterium
Lineage: Bacteria; Pseudomonadati; Myxococcota; Myxococcia
Description: tRNA-Ser
Rfam family: tRNA
About the family: Transfer RNA (tRNA) molecules are approximately 80 nucleotides in length. Their secondary structure includes four short double-helical elements and three loops (D, anti-codon, and T loops).
Source: RNAcentral
GGAGCAGUGGCCGAGUGGUUGAAGGCACCGGUCUUGAAAACCGGCGUAGGGAAACCUACCGGGGGUUCGAAUCCCUCCUGCUCCG